CCUACGGGAGGCAGCAGUGGGGAAUAUUCCACAAUGGAGGAAACCCUGAUGCAGCAACGCCGCGUGAGCGAUGAAGUAUUUCGGUAUGUAAAGCUCUAUCAGCAGGGAAGAAAAUGACGGUACCUGACUAAGAAGCCCCGGCUAACUACGUACCAGCAGCCGCGGUAAUACGUAGGGGGCAAGCGUUAGCCGGAUUUACUGGGUGUAAAGGGAGCGUAGACGGUCCUGCAAGCCAGAUGUGAAAGCCCGGGGAUCAACCCCGGGACUGCAUUUGGAACUGUAAGGCUAGAGUGUAGGAGAGGCAGGCGGAAUUCCUAGUGUAGCGGUGAAAUGCGUAGAUAUUAGGAGGAACACCAGUGGCGAAGGCGGCCUGCUGGACGAUGACUGACGUUGAGGCUCGAAAGCGUGGGGAGCAAACAGGAUUAGAUACCCCAGUAGUC
RNAcentral lists this ribosomal RNA (440 nucleotides) under uncultured bacterium. Its description in RNAcentral is "partial 16S ribosomal RNA". It matches the Rfam family "Bacterial small subunit ribosomal RNA", at positions 338 to 795 of the family's 1533-position model. The record is from RNAcentral.